Molecule: ribosomal RNA, 446 nt
Filed under: uncultured bacterium
Lineage: Bacteria
Description: partial 16S ribosomal RNA
Rfam family: Bacterial small subunit ribosomal RNA
Source: RNAcentral
CCUACGGGGGGCUGCAGUCGAGAAUCAUUCACAAUGGGGGAAACCCUGAUGGUGCGACGCCGCGUGGGGGAAUGAAGGUCUUCGGAUUGUAAACCCCUGUCAUGUGGGAGCAAAUUAAAAAGAUAGUACCACAAGAGGAAGAGACGGCUAACUCUGUGCCAGCAGCCGCGGUAAUCCAGAGGUCUCAAGCGUUGUUCGGAAUCACUGGGCGUAAAGCGUGCGUAGGCUGUUUGGUAAGUCGUGUGUGAAAGGCGCGGGCUCAACCCGCGGACGGCACAUGAUACUGCGAGACUAGAGUAAUGGAGGGGGAACCGGAAUUCUCGGUGUAGCAGUGAAAUGCGUAGAUAUCGAGAGGAACACUCGUGGCGAAGGCGGGUUCCUGGACAUUAACUGACGCUGAGGCACGAACGCCAGGGGAGCGAAAGGGAUUAGAUACCCUAGUAGUC